Long non-coding RNA from Chenopodium quinoa (quinoa), 2614 nucleotides. RefSeq lists it as uncharacterized. The transcript has 2 exons. Lineage: Eukaryota; Viridiplantae; Streptophyta; Magnoliopsida; Caryophyllales; Amaranthaceae. The record is from RefSeq and is a predicted model, not a curated record.
UCUUAUAAGUAUGUCUAAUAUCUAUGUACAAAAUGUGUUUAAAUCUAUUCUUAAAAAAAAAAAUCCAAUAUUUAUAUUUUGCAUCAGAGGCUUAAAAUUAGUUAUUUUAUUUAAAAAACAAUUAGAUCAGAAAAAUAAGACAUUUAUCCAUUUCCUUAUGGCCAUUUUUUUUAUGCUCACGAUUGGAAAGCUAAAAUACCAUUUAUUUUCACAAAAUUCUGCUCAUAGGCAAAAAAAAAAAAAAAAAAAAAAAAAAAAAAAAAAAAAAAAAAAAAAAAAAAAACGAGUGAGAGUGCUCUAACAAUCUUCUCCCUUUUCUUUCUUACUCAAUGCCUACCUUCGUUCCUUGGCUCUACAAUACAACCCUUCUCACUCUCCGGCCGCCAUAUCUCUUCGCCGGCAUCAAUUUCUCGACCCCUCAUCUGAACCAUCCAAAUUCUGCAAUCUUUAUACAACUCUUUGUAUCAAUGGAAAAGAGAAAGUUGAGUGUUCGGGAUGCGCUGCCGCCGCAGCCAUGAUCAAUAUUGUUGUUAAUUUGUUAUUAGUAUUAAUUGCUUUUUCAUGUUGAUGAUCAAUCAAUAUAAUGCCUUUAAUUUUUGGUUCUUGUUUUGUUGUUGAUUGAAGGUUUGUAUAGGUUCAUUUAGCAAUUUUGGGUUUCUUUUAAUCCAACUAAUUGUGAAUUUGGUGUAUAGUAUUCUGUAGAACUGUGAUUAAUUUUAUCUGUGACUUGGUGCUGGAAAAUUCUAAUAUCAUGGCCUGAAAUUGAGGAUGACUAAUCUUCAAAUAGUUAUGUAGUGGAAUUGAUACGUUACAUCCAAAUUGUUAUGCAGUGGAACUGUGGAAAUUAUAUGUUGCAUGAUUGCAAAUGCUGUGGUAAUUGGCUGUAUGUUGUGGCAAUACGUUGGCGGUGUAAUGAAGUUUAAGAGCAAGCAUUGGCUGUUAUUAUCAUACCUUAUGGUCUAUAACUCUAUAAGCCUCACAUGUGGACUUGUUAUGGGCUAGGCUUUUUCGAUAGUUGAUACCGGUUUUUGUAGCACAGGCCACAGCUAGUUCUAGUGUCCUGCUGACAAGGGGUAUUGCUGUGUGAAUUAUUGAUGUAAGGAGGUCCGGUACUGAAUAUUCCUGUUUAUGUGAUCCAUAUAUGUGGAUGUUGUUGUAGAAUAUUUGCAGUCAUUGUAUUAGGACAGUGUCAAAAUGCACAAGUCAAUGAGUGUGGUACAGUUCGUUCUUCAACCCUAGCCCCCUACAAAAAAAGUUCAUCUAUUUUUUCAUAUUAUGUUCAUUCUUCUUCAACCCUAGCCCCCUUCAAAAGAGUUCAUCUAUUUUUUCAUAUGAUGAGUGCUAGUCUGAUAGCCUCAUUUGGCUGUUAAUUAUUUGAGAGUUUGAGACUAUCAGCUAUACUUGGUCCUUUCUGACUCACAUCCCUUUUGGUGUUCUGAAAAUGGUUCAGAUUUUUAACUGUUACCUGUGUCUUUCUUUGGGUCUAAACCUUGUUGACUUCAUCAGUUUAUGAGUGAUUUUCAAUGUCUCAGAACUGUUGUUGCCCUGGAGACUGAAGCUAGAAUAUGUAGUUUGUAAUGAGCAGAAAAACAUCUCGGAGCUCAUCAGGACAGUUGUUGUUUCAGCUCCCUUUAUGGCUUUUAAUCUUAGUGCUUAAGGGCUUCCUUCCAUCCAUUCUCAAAUGUAGUUUUCCAUGGGGUUUAUGAUAUACUUGAAACUCCUAUCUGAAUUCACCUUAAGGAAGGGAAACGAUGUUCCAGGGGCAGGAUAUAACAGCCUUGAGUCUACCGGAAUUGAGCUGUGUAAGAAACUAAGAACCUUACUGUAUGGGGCUAUACCUGGUGCUUGUGCUGAAACUGUUACCUAUCCAUUUGAGGUGGUCAGGGGACAGCUUCAAAUGCAAGUUUCAUGGAGCAAGAUUGAUUACUUUGGCAACUUAUAUUAAGAUAGUCAAGCAAGGAGAGAUUUUGGCUCUCUAUGCUGGACAUCUUGCCAGUAUAUUCAGGCACACCCAUCAGUAGCAAUAAGUUACUUUGUGUAUGAGUUAAAUGGAGAUAGCUCUCAAAGCCGAAUGAAAGGAAGCCGCAGCUGCAUUGUAGCCAGUCGGUGCUGGAGCCAUGGACGAGCAUGUCAUGUUUGAGAUUGGUAAAUAUACUGAAAUUUGACAGCUUCUAAGAAAUUCUCCACAAAUAUGGUUAGCUGGCAUUCAGUCACCUACUGGGGGAAUAUUUAUGUUUAUCCUCUUAACCCAUACUAUAUUGAAUCUGGUGGUCCUCUCAUGUCAAUUCAUGUGCAUUGUCUGUAAGCAGUAGCGGUAUGGCCAUAAAUGCCCUAGCUUACUGCAAUUGGUGGAAAUUGGCAAAUCUGGUGAAGUGCUGGUUGUAGAAAGAUACCUGAAUUGCCUGUAGAUCAAAGAUUUUGGGUUCAUAACCUUAGUUUGGAUGUGAACAAAGGGAAUUCUACUUCAUUCUUGACCUUAUGCGGAUCAAAAAACAUGUUGCUGUUGGCAUAUUGGUCACAUUACCAUAUUUACUAGCCCUGCAGAAUAGCUUUUAUCUUUUGAAAACUCUGAAUUUAUGACAGCAAAUAUAUCAAAUUGAGCCUUGCCUUUCCA